Molecule: ribosomal RNA, 853 nt
Filed under: human gut metagenome
Description: bacterial SSU rRNA
Rfam family: Archaeal small subunit ribosomal RNA
Source: RNAcentral
GUCUAAACCGUUCGUAGCCGGUCUGGUAAAUCCUUGGGUAAAUCGGGGAGCUCAACUUUCCGAAUUCCGAGGAGACUGCCAGACUUGGGACCGGGAGAGGCUAGAGGUACUUCUGGGGUAGGGGUAAAAUCCUGUAAUCCUAGAAGGACCACCGGUGGCGAAGGCGUCUAGCUAGAACGGAUCCGACGGUGAGGGACGAAGCCCUGGGUCGCAAACGGGAUUAGAUACCCCGGUAGUCCAGGGUGUAAACGCUGCAGACUUGGUGUUGGAGGCCCUUCGGGGGCAUUCAGUGCCGGAGAGAAGUUGUUAAGUCUGCUACUUGGGGAGUACGUCCGCAAGGAUGAAACUUAAAGGAAUUGGCGGGGGAGCACCGCAACGGGAGGAGCGUGCGGUUUAAUUGGAUUCAACACCGGAAAACUCACCAAGGGCGACCAUUACAUGAAAGCCAGGCUAAUGACCUUGCUAGAUUUUUGGAGAGGUGGUGCAUGGCCGUCGUCAGUUCGUACCGUAAGGCGUUCUCUUAAGUGAGAUAACGAACGAGACCCUCACUGAUAAUUGCUAAUCUAUUCUCCGGAGUAGAUGCACAUUAUUGGGACCGCUGACGCUAAGUCAGAGGAAGGAGAGGUCAACGGUAGGUCAGUAUGCCCCGAAUCUCUUGGGCUACACGCGCGCUACAAAGGGCGGGACAAUGGGCUCCGACGCCGAGAGGCGAAGGUAAUCUCGAAACCCGUCCAUAGUUCGGACUGAGGGUUGUAACUCACCCUCACGAAGCUGGAUUCCGUAGUAAUCGCGAAUCAACAACUCGCGGUGAAUAUGCCCCUGCUCCUUGCACACACCGCCCGUCAAACCAUCC